Molecule: long non-coding RNA, 203 nt
Filed under: Nicotiana benthamiana
Lineage: Eukaryota; Viridiplantae; Streptophyta; Magnoliopsida; Solanales; Solanaceae
Description: long non-coding RNA (NBEN_LNC010144)
Source: RNAcentral
AUAUUUAGAAAUGUGCCUAUUGGUUGCCUCGUUAAAAACCUUGCAAGGCAAACCCAGUGGGACAAAACCUUGUAAGGGAAAAAGAGUGCAAAGCGCAUUAAUUCCCCCUGAUAAGAACAUAAAUUUAUGUCCUUAAGUCUUCGCAUCCCGAUCUUGUGAACUAGCUUCUUGAAGGUUGACUUUGGUAGAGAUUUUGUAAACAA